UUAUUAUGAGAGUUUGAUCCUGGCUCAGGACGAACGCUGGCGGCGUGCCUAAUACAUGCAAGUCGAACGCUUCUUUCCUCCCGAGUGCUUGCACUCAAUUGGAAAGAGGAGUGGCGGACGGGUGAGUAACACGUGGGUAACCUACCCAUCAGAGGGGGAUAACACUUGGAAACAGGUGCUAAUACCGCAUAACAGUUUAUGCCGCAUGGCAUAAGAGUGAAAGGCGCUUUCGGGUGUCGCUGAUGGAUGGACCCGCGGUGCAUUAGCUAGUUGGUGAGGUAACGGCUCACCAAGGCCACGAUGCAUAGCCGACCUGAGAGGGUGAUCGGCCACACUGGGACUGAGACACGGCCCAGACUCCUACGGGAGGCAGCAGUAGGGAAUCUUCGGCAAUGGACGAAAGUCUGACCGAGCAACGCCGCGUGAGUGAAGAAGGUUUUCGGAUCGUAAAACUCUGUUGUUAGAGAAGAACAAGGACGUUAGUAACUGAACGUCCCCUGACGGUAUCUAACCAGAAAGCCACGGCUAACUACGUGCCAGCAGCCGCGGUAAUACGUAGGUGGCAAGCGUUGUCCGGAUUUAUUGGGCGUAAAGCGAGCGCAGGCGGUUUCUU
RNAcentral lists this ribosomal RNA (613 nucleotides) under Enterococcus faecalis. Its description in RNAcentral is "bacterial SSU rRNA". It matches the Rfam family "Bacterial small subunit ribosomal RNA", at positions 1 to 584 of the family's 1533-position model. Lineage: Bacteria; Bacillati; Bacillota; Bacilli; Lactobacillales; Enterococcaceae. The record is from RNAcentral.